GCGCUGAGUAGCUGUGGAGAAAAGGAGACAACCAUCAGUGACAGAUUGCCCAUUUAGGAGGUUAUCACUGAAACUAGGCCUAGGAGGUCUGUAACAUACCGAUUACAGGGCUCUGCGGUUCUUCAGCUCUCCUCUUCCUCCCUCCACUGCGGUCACUGCUAUACUUAAGCCAGUUUUUAAUGUGGCUGUCGCACUCGCUGGCAGUGAUAUUUUGUGCUGCCGCAGCACCUGAACAGCAAUGCAGUGGCAUUCAGACGCCUCUUAUAGCUGCAGUGAUUUUUAAAGCUGCAAAAGCCUUCUUUUGGCCUCCUCGGCCAAGCCAAUUGUAUUGGGUUGCCAGUG
Alosa sapidissima (American shad) is the source of this 342-nucleotide long non-coding RNA. RefSeq lists it as uncharacterized. The transcript is spliced from 3 exons. The record is from RefSeq and is a predicted model, not a curated record. Lineage: Eukaryota; Metazoa; Chordata; Actinopteri; Clupeiformes; Clupeidae.